AGUGAACGCUGGCGGUAGGCCUAACACAUGCAAGUCGAACGGCAGCACAGGAGAGCUUGCUCUCUGGGUGGCGAGUGGCGGACGGGUGAGGAAUACAUCGGAAUCUACUUUUUCGUGGGGGAUAACGUAGGGAAACUUACGCUAAUACCGCAUACGACCUACGGGUGAAAGCAGGGGACCUUCGGGCCUUGCGCGAAUGAAUUAGCCGAUGUAGGAUUAGCUAGUUGGCGGGGUAAAGGCCCACCAAGGCGACGAUCCGUAGCUGGUCUGAGAGGAUGAUCAGCCACACUGGAACUGAGACACGGUCCAGACUCCUACGGGAGGCAGCAGCGGGGAAUAUUGGACAAUGGGCGCAAGCCUGAUCCAGCCAUACCGCGUGGGUGAAGAAGGCCUUCGGGUUGUAAAGCCCUUUUGUUGGGAAAGAAAUCCAGCUGGCUAAUACCCGGUUGGGAUGACGGUACCCAAAGAAUAAGCACCGGCUAACUUCGUGCCAGCCGCCGCAGUAA
This 506-nucleotide ribosomal RNA is filed under the name uncultured bacterium. Its description in RNAcentral is "partial 16S ribosomal RNA". It matches the Rfam family "Bacterial small subunit ribosomal RNA", at positions 29 to 523 of the family's 1533-position model. The record is from RNAcentral.